GACGAACGCUGGCGGCGCGCUUAACACAUGCAAGUCGAGCGAGAACCGGGACUUCGGUCCCGGGGACAGCGGCGAACGGGUGAGUAACACGUGGGUAAUCAACCCUCGGCACCGGGAUAGCCCGAGGAAACUCGGAUUAAUACCGGAUAGCCCCUCCGACUCUCGAGUCGGUCGGGAAAGGUAGCUUAGGCCUCUGGCCGGGGACGAGCCCGCGGCGGAUUAGCUUGUUGGUGGGGUAAUGGCCUACCAAGGCAACGAUCCGAGCUGGUCUGAGAGGACGAUCAGCCACACUGGGACUGAGACACGGCCCAGACUCUUACGGGAGGCAGCAGUGGGAAUCUUGCGCAAUGGGCGAAAGCCUGACGCAGCGACGCCGCGUGA
This 381-nucleotide ribosomal RNA is filed under the name uncultured bacterium. RNAcentral describes it as "bacterial SSU rRNA". It matches the Rfam family "Bacterial small subunit ribosomal RNA", at positions 28 to 404 of the family's 1533-position model. The record is from RNAcentral.